This 209-nucleotide long non-coding RNA is filed under the name Medicago truncatula (barrel medic). RNAcentral describes it as "lncRNA gene46401". The record is from RNAcentral. Lineage: Eukaryota; Viridiplantae; Streptophyta; Magnoliopsida; Fabales; Fabaceae.
UCCCCCUAUGCAUGUGUUUAAGCCUCCAUCUCUUCUCCCUCGUGAUGCGCGACUCUCCUUUUCUUUGUUUACGGAUCAGCAUUCAGCAAGCAUUUCCUUCAUAUAGCACGUAGUUAGCAUGGUGUAUGCCACAUUGGAUGAAAAUGUUUUACAAAAGCCAAAAUUACUAAAUUUAAUGUCUCUUUAAAAUAUUCUUAGGGACUAAAAUG